CCUACGGGGGGCUGCAGUGGGGAAUAUUGGACAAUGGGGGGAACCCUGAUCCAGCCAUGCCGCGUGUGUGAAGAAGGCCCUCGGGUUGUAAAGCACUUUCAGUGAGGAAGAACGCCUGGUGGUUAAUACCCAUCAGGAAAGACAUCACUCACAGAAGAAGCACCGGCUAACUCCGUGCCAGCAGCCGCGAUAAUACGGAGGGUGCGAGCGUUAAUCGGAAUUACUGGGCGUAAAGCGCGCGUAGGUGGCUUGAUAAGCCGGUUGUGAAAGCCCCGGGCUCAACCUGGGAACGGCAUCCGGAACUGUCAAGCUAGAGUGCAGGAGAGGAAGGUAGAAUUCCCGGUGUAGCGGUGAAAUGCGUAGAGAUCGGGAGGAAUACCAGUGGCGAAGGCGGCCUUCUGGACUGACACUGACACUGAGGUGCGAAAGCGUGGGUAGCAAACAGGAUUAGAUACCCUAGUAGUC
Molecule: ribosomal RNA, 465 nt
Filed under: Vreelandella stevensii
Lineage: Bacteria; Pseudomonadati; Pseudomonadota; Gammaproteobacteria; Oceanospirillales; Halomonadaceae
Description: partial 16S ribosomal RNA
Rfam family: Bacterial small subunit ribosomal RNA
Source: RNAcentral